Molecule: ribosomal RNA, 521 nt
Filed under: uncultured Glomeraceae
Lineage: Eukaryota; Fungi; Glomeromycota; Glomeromycetes; Glomerales; Glomeraceae
Description: SSU rRNA
Rfam family: Eukaryotic small subunit ribosomal RNA
Source: RNAcentral
AGCAGCCGCGGUAAUUCCAGCUCCAAUAGCGUAUAUUAAAGUUGUUGCAGUUAAAAAGCUCGUAGUUGAAUUUCGGGAUCAAGGCGUCGGUCGUGCCUUGGUACGUACUGGCGUCAUUGAUUUCUCCCUUCUGACGAACCGUGAUGUCAUUAACUUGGUGUUACGGGAAAUCAGGACUGUUACUUUGAAAAAAUUAGAGUGUUUAAAGCAGGCUCACGCUUGAAUACAUUAGCAUGGAAUAAUGAAAUAGGACGUUCGAUCCUAUUUUGUUGGUUUCUAGGAUCAACGUAAUGAUUAAUAGGGAUAGUUGGGGGCAUUAGUAUUCAAUUGUCAGAGGUGAAAUUCUUGGAUUUAUUGAAGACUAACUACUGCGAAAGCAUUUGCCAAGGAUGUUUUCAUUAAUCAAGAACGAAAGUUAGGGGAUCGAAGACGAUCAGAUACCGUCGUAGUCUUAACCAUAAACUAUGCCGACUAGGGAUCGGAUGAUGUUAAUUAUUUAAUGACUCAUUCGGCGCCUUACG